Long non-coding RNA from Dicentrarchus labrax (European seabass), 1533 nucleotides. RefSeq lists it as uncharacterized. The transcript is spliced from 2 exons. NCBI's taxonomy places the organism in Eukaryota, Metazoa, Chordata, Actinopteri, Moronidae. The record is from RefSeq and is a predicted model, not a curated record.
GAUGCCAUUUGAAAAUAUAGGCAGUGUAAGCACUGUAGAAUCUAAUUAUUUCUUUGCAAAACCUAAUUAGGCAUUAAAAAAGGUUAACGCCAGCGCCUGAAACGUUUUUGUUUAAUAAUCCCAUUACUGACGGCUCAUCAUGUAUAAAAUGGUGCAGGAGGACACUAAGUUUCCACUUGUUAAAGGGAAUCUCUGAGAAAUAGUCGCAGAUCUUUUGACACUAUCUGCGAUUGGAAAUUAGGGCUUGUAAUUAAACUGCGGAGACUCAGCACAGCACACAGAAGCUUCCUGGAAGGCUGUGAUUGGCCGCCUGUCUGGGCAGUGAUAGCAGCCCUGGAGCCGAGGAUGAUUGAUGAUGGCGAGGGCAAGGCCGAGCGCUGGCAGCAUAAAGCCCCAUAGACGCCUCAAUAAAGAGCCUGGCUAGUGGAGAGCCCGGGCCCCGCUCAAUAGGGCCCCCUCCGCCUCCGAGGACCCACGGCUAGAGGAGUGCAUGGAGAGAGAGGGAGAGAGGGAGAGGAAGAGAGGGAGAAGGAGAGGUGCUCUGUUGUUGGAUAAUCCAUUUAGCUAUUGAGCCAGCAGCCGUCUGAGACUGGAUAAGUGCAGCGACGGAUGUGUGUGGGGUGAAAAUAGCAGGGGUUGGCUGGUGGAGUGCUGGAGGGGGGGAUGCAGGGAUGAAGGAUAUGGAGGGAGAGAGAGAGAGAGAGAGAGAGAGAGAGGGAGAGAGAUGGAUCAUCCAGUCUCAGGAUGCAUAAUGGGAAAAAAGGGAAGCAGAUAAACAAACUGCAGAUGUGAUCUGCAGGCUGCUUUUCACACAUGCUAGAAAUGAUCACAAGCCAAAAAAGUUGACCACAAGAAACUGAAUGAUAUAGCUGAGGCCUCUGCUACUACUCUGGUGGCCAUCAUUCAGCCUACGGAUGCAUAACUGCGGUGACCUUUGCUUCUGCAGAUCAAUGAGACCCUGCUAGGUUGGAUUCCAUCGGUGGAAGCAUCCACUGCUGUGGCCCCAGACCUCAUGCAGCCCUGUUGUAACCCCCAGCGCACAGCAGCUCUGAAAAGCACAAUUAGGCAUCAAUCUGCCCCUACCAAGCCAGCUUUCAGUGACUCCAGCAUGGCUACAUGAUAUCCUGCAGACCCUCCUGGCUGGAGUUGGCAGGAUGAAGGUCUGAUAGAGCGGAGGGGCCGGAGACUGAUGUUCUGAUCAUCUUUUAUUUUGCUCUGCAGGUUUCACAGAGAUCAAGGAUGAGAAAUCAGUAAGCCUUAAGAACAGUUUAAGACCCUGCAUAUGUUGCACUAACAUUUGAUUUUCAAAGUAUUAAAACAUACUUUAUAGGAUGAUAUUAAAACAAGUUGAAACAAGGUUCCUAAAUGCACUAAAAGUUAACUAAAUUGAGCCUUUAACAUUUUAUAAUGUUGUAUAUCUCAAAAUUACUUUGCACAUGUUCUUUCUUUUCAAUGCCUUGUAUGAUUCAGUCAUAUUCAUCUGCAUUUUAAUGUACUAUAUAAAAAUAAACCUACCAAAUUCCUCAAAACUAA